Molecule: long non-coding RNA, 265 nt
Organism: Cydia pomonella (codling moth)
Lineage: Eukaryota; Metazoa; Arthropoda; Insecta; Lepidoptera; Tortricidae
Exons: 6
Source: RefSeq, a predicted model, not a curated record
AAAACUUCUACUUACUUAGGUAUAAGUAUAACAGCAUGCCAUUUUAGAAUGAGAGCAUAAUAUAAUAUUUUGCGGAGGAGUUCGUGUGGUGAGACUUAUUUUUUUUACAGGAUGCAGCCACUACGAUUUCUUUUCGCACUACUUGUAGCAAUACUGGCCACCACCGUGCUGUGUUACCCUGGCAAGCAAAUUCUGCGACAAGAGGAUGCAGCUGGUGGGGAUGCAGCUGGUGGGGAUGCAGCUGGUGGGGAUGCAGCUGGUGGGG